This 465-nucleotide ribosomal RNA is filed under the name Salmonella enterica subsp. enterica serovar Anatum. RNAcentral's name for it is "bacterial SSU rRNA". It matches the Rfam family "Bacterial small subunit ribosomal RNA", at positions 338 to 795 of the family's 1533-position model. The record is from RNAcentral. Lineage: Bacteria; Pseudomonadati; Pseudomonadota; Gammaproteobacteria; Enterobacterales; Enterobacteriaceae.
CCUACGGGAGGCUGCAGUGGGGAAUCUUCCGCAAUGGGCGAAAGCCUGACGGAGCAAUGCCGCGUGAGUGAUGAAGGAAUUCGUUCCGUAAAGCUCUUUUGUUUAUGACGAAUGUGCAUGUUGUGAAUAAUGACGUGUAAUGACGGUAGUAAACGAAUAAGCCACGGCUAACUACGUGCCAGCAGCCGCGGUAAUACGUAGGUGGCGAGCGUUGUCCGGAAUUAUUGGGCGUAAAGAGCAUGUAGGCGGUUUUUUAAGUCCGGAGUGAAAAUGCGGGGCUCAACCCCGUAUGGCUCUGGAUACUGGAAGACUUGAGUGCAGGAGAGGAAAGGGGAAUUCCCAGUGUAGCGGUGAAAUGCGUAGAUAUUGGGAGGAACACCAGUGGCGAAGGCGCCUUUCUGGACUGUGUCUGACGCUGAGAUGCGAAAGCCAGGGUAGCGAACGGGAUUAGAUACCCUAGUAGUC